GGCGCUUUAGCUCAGCUGGUUAGAGCGACGGAAUCAUAAUCCGCAGGUCCGGGGUUCAAAUCCCUUAAGCGCCC
RNAcentral lists this transfer RNA (74 nucleotides) under Rubrivivax sp. Its description in RNAcentral is "tRNA-Met". It matches the Rfam family "tRNA". Rfam says of the family: Transfer RNA (tRNA) molecules are approximately 80 nucleotides in length. Their secondary structure includes four short double-helical elements and three loops (D, anti-codon, and T loops). Lineage: Bacteria; Pseudomonadati; Pseudomonadota; Betaproteobacteria; Burkholderiales; Sphaerotilaceae. The record is from RNAcentral.